Molecule: ribosomal RNA, 529 nt
Filed under: uncultured bacterium
Lineage: Bacteria
Description: bacterial SSU rRNA
Rfam family: Bacterial small subunit ribosomal RNA
Source: RNAcentral
CUUGACAUCCAGCGAACUUUCCAGAGAUGGAUUGGUGCCUUCGGGAACGCUGAGACAGGUGCUGCAUGGCUGUCGUCAGCUCGUGUUGUGAAAUGUUGGGUUAAGUCCCGCAACGAGCGCAACCCUUAUCCUUUGUUGCCAGCGAUUCGGUCGGGAACUCAAAGGAGACUGCCGGUGAUAAACCGGAGGAAGGUGGGGAUGACGUCAAGUCAUCAUGGCCCUUACGAGUAGGGCUACACACGUGCUACAAUGGCGCAUACAAAGAGAAGCGACCUCGCGAGAGCAAGCGGACCUCAUAAAGUGCGUCGUAGUCCGGAUCGGAGUCUGCAACUCGACUCCGUGAAGUCGGAAUCGCUAGUAAUCGUGGAUCAGAAUGCCACGGUGAAUACGUUCCCGGGCCUUGUACACACCGCCCGUCACACCAUGGGAGUGGGUUGCAAAAGAAGUAGGUAGCUUAACCCUCGGGAGGGCGCUUACCACUUUGUGAUUCAUGACUGGGGUGAAGUCGUAACAAGGUAAGCGUAGCGAG